GUGAAGUGGUAGCUCCUCUCUUACUCUUCAUUUUCCAGUGGUUUAAAUAACGGACUCCUCGGGCCAGAAACAAUUCAGAUGAGCAAACCCAGGCCUGCGCCCAGCGUGGGGAUACGCCCCGGGUGGCCGUGGGUGAAGGUGCAGGCCGUCCCCACAGCCGGCCUUUCAGAGCCCGAUCCUCCCGGCAAAGGCUCAGCCGCGUUUUCACUAGAGCAUUUUUGUGGAGGGUGGUAACCUCGCUUGGAGAUUUCGCCAGGGCGUGACUGUCGCUGCUCCUUGCUCCCCC
Choloepus didactylus (southern two-toed sloth) is the source of this 286-nucleotide long non-coding RNA. RefSeq lists it as uncharacterized. The record is from RefSeq and is a predicted model, not a curated record. The transcript has 3 exons. NCBI's taxonomy places the organism in Eukaryota, Metazoa, Chordata, Mammalia, Pilosa, Megalonychidae.